UACGUAGGUGGCAAGCGUUGUCCGGAUUUACUGGGUGUAAAGGGCGUGUAGCCGGGCUGACAAGUCAGAUGUGAAAUCCGGGGGCUCAACCCCCGAACUGCAUUUGAAACUGGCGGCCUCGAGUGGGCGAGAAGUAUGCGGAAUGCGUGGUGUAGCGGUGAAAUGCAUAGAUAUCACGCAGAACUCCGAUUGCGAAGGCAGCAUACCGGCGCCCGACUGACGCUGAGGCACGAAAGCGUGGGUAUCGAACAGG
This 253-nucleotide ribosomal RNA is filed under the name uncultured Bacteroidales bacterium. Its description in RNAcentral is "partial 16S ribosomal RNA". It matches the Rfam family "Bacterial small subunit ribosomal RNA", at positions 524 to 776 of the family's 1533-position model. Lineage: Bacteria; Pseudomonadati; Bacteroidota; Bacteroidia; Bacteroidales. The record is from RNAcentral.